This 455-nucleotide ribosomal RNA is filed under the name uncultured bacterium. RNAcentral describes it as "bacterial SSU rRNA". It matches the Rfam family "Bacterial small subunit ribosomal RNA", at positions 28 to 496 of the family's 1533-position model. The record is from RNAcentral.
GACGAACGCUGGCGGCGUGCCUAACACAUGCAAGUCGAACGGAAGUUAGAGCUUCGGUUUUAACUUUAGUGGCGAACGGGUGAGUAACGCGUGAGGAACCUGCCUUUCAGUGGGGGACAACAGUUGGAAACGACUGCUAAUACCGCAUGAUGCUUUUGGGAGACAUCUCCUGAAAGUCAAAGCUUUAUGUGCUGAAAGAUGGCCUCGCGUCUGAUUAGCUAGUUGGUGAGGUAACGGCUCACCAAGGCGACGAUCAGUAGCCGGUCUGAGAGGAUGAACGGCCACAUUGGGACUGAGAUACGGCCCAGACUCCUACGGGAGGCAGCAGUGGGGAAUAUUGGGCAAUGGGGGAAACCCCGACCCAGCAACGCCGCGUGAAGGAAGAAGGCCUUCGGGUUGUAAACUUCUUUUACCAGGGACGAAGGACGUGACGGUACCUGGAGAAAAAGCAACGG